GGGCAUGUAGUGUAGGGGUUAUCGCGCCUCAUUCGCAACUUCGGGGAUUAAGCCGAGGUCACGUGACUUGAGGAGGUCUCCGGUUCAAUUCCGGACUUGUCCA
This 103-nucleotide transfer RNA is filed under the name Ceratobasidium sp. 428. RNAcentral's name for it is "tRNA-Ala". It matches the Rfam family "tRNA". From Rfam's summary of the family: Transfer RNA (tRNA) molecules are approximately 80 nucleotides in length. Their secondary structure includes four short double-helical elements and three loops (D, anti-codon, and T loops). The record is from RNAcentral. Lineage: Eukaryota; Fungi; Basidiomycota; Agaricomycetes; Cantharellales; Ceratobasidiaceae.